RNAcentral lists this long non-coding RNA (1040 nucleotides) under Aotus nancymaae (Ma's night monkey). RNAcentral's name for it is "lncRNA (ENSANAG00000038919.1)". Lineage: Eukaryota; Metazoa; Chordata; Mammalia; Primates; Aotidae. The record is from RNAcentral.
ACUUCCUCUCCCUGGCCUUGAGCCUCAUUUAGGAUCCGCAGAUAAAACACAGAGACCUACUAACACUAAAAAAUUAUUUGCUAUUUCUCUGAAAUUCAGAUUUAACCUGCAUCCUCUUUCUCCUUUUUCUUUCUUCUUCUUUUUUUGCUAAACUGGGCAACAGGGCAGGCCACUGCCGCCGUCAUCAGAAAGACUACUUUCAGUCCAGGCAAACAGAGGAGAGCAAAGCCUGAGAUGGUAACCUGCUCCCCCAGGCCAGAGGAAGCUCAGACCUUCUCACCAGUACCAGGCAAGGAAUGUGGGUCGCCCUGAAGGGAGGGUGGGGGAUGACCAGGCUCACUUAACCACAGAAGGGGGGCCCCCUCAGACCGGUGCAGACACCAGCAGUAAACAGGAAAUGCCCUCUGACCGCAGGGUGGAGAAGAUUCUAGUCCAGAUUCAGAAGAGGAGCUGGUACCGGCCUGUGGCAAUCCCCAGCUGCGGAGGCAGAGCUCCAAGACAAAGCAAGAGGAAUGAGAGGAAACACAAGCCGGGUCAAAGCUCCAGGCCGCUAGCACAGAGGCAGGUGGUGGCACCGAGAUCCCUUCUCCAUAGCACCCGUGAGAGCACAGGGCAGGACAGAGGACAGACCCCUGGCCCAAGGGGCCAACCACCAGCCUCUCAGCCAGCUCCGCCACUGACUUGCUGCUUGGAAAGUCACUUAACUGCUCCAAGCCUCAGUUUCCACUUCUGGAAAUGGGGCUAUGACACCCUGCCUGCCUCUUCAUGCUGGUAUAAGAAUCAACGGCCUGUGACAGGACUUUGUAAACUGUAGGUUGGUAUUGGUUAGGGCUCUUUAGUCACAAACGUGAGAAACCAGACAUUAAACAAGGCAAGGCGCCAGGGGGAUUCACCGGCUCAGAGGCCCAAGACCCAGGACGGGGAGGGGAGGCGCUCUCACCCCGUCUCGUGCCUGCAUCUCUCUGUGAGUCAGUCUUCUUCCACAAGCCUGGGGCCAGCUUCACCUCCUAAAGGAGUUUCUCUGCUCUGUGACUUCUAAC